GUCCAGACUCCUACGGGAGGCAGCAGUGGGGGAUAUUGCACAAUGGGGGGAACCCUGAUGCAGCGACGCCGCGUGGGUGAAGGAGUAUUUCGGUAUGUAAAGCCCUAUCAGCAGGGAAGAACAAUGACGGUACCUGACUAAGAAGCACCGGCUAAAUACGUGCCAGCAGCCGCGGUAAUACGUAGGGGGCGAGCGUUAUCCGGAUUCACUGGGUGUAAAGGGAGCGUAGACGGCCAUGCAAGCCAGGGGUGAAAGCCCGGGGCCCAACCCCGGGACUGCCCUUGGAACUGCAUGGCUGGAGUGCGGGAGGGGCAGGCGGAAUUCCUGGUGUAGCGGUGAAAUGCGUAGAUAUCAGGAGGAACACCGGCGGCGAAGGCGGCCUGCUGGACCGCGACUGACGUUGAGGCUCGAAAGCGUGGGGAGCGAACAGGAUUAGAUACCCGCGUA
This 447-nucleotide ribosomal RNA is filed under the name uncultured bacterium. RNAcentral describes it as "bacterial SSU rRNA". It matches the Rfam family "Bacterial small subunit ribosomal RNA", at positions 329 to 792 of the family's 1533-position model. The record is from RNAcentral.